This 5190-nucleotide unclassified non-coding RNA is filed under the name Leishmania donovani. RNAcentral describes it as "gene:LdHU3.33.3080(CDS-product:calpain_protease-l ike_protein)". The record is from RNAcentral. Lineage: Eukaryota; Euglenozoa; Kinetoplastea; Trypanosomatida; Trypanosomatidae.
UGCGUCGCUUGUUUCUCUGCUUAUUUCCUCCCUUCUCACCACACACACACACACACACACACACACACACACCACAUAUUUCCGUGUGUUGCCUCCGCUAUCAAUCUCCCUACCCCCUCCGCCCAUCAGCCCGGCUCCACUGCUCCUGCUCGGACUUGCUUCGUCCAGCUUCUUGAAGCUCUUCUACCCAUCCUAAAUUCUUGUCGUUGCUGGAGAGGGGAUUCUUUUGCGUUUUCGACGCAACACGCACACGACGACAUCACCGAAAAAGCUUACAGGGCUCGCCCCCUUCCUUCCGGCUCGUUCCCGUGCAGUUUCCCCUGCCUCAAUGCCGUCCUCCUUCCCUGCUGAGGCGUCCAUGUGGAUGCAGAACGCCGUUCACCUCGAUACGGACCACAAAUACGUGGAGGCGGAGGAGUGCUACACGAAGGCCAUUUUUUUGUUUCGGCAGGCCCUCUCGGACCCGAACAUGGCGGACACCGAGCGACAGAAGCUCUUGAGCUACAUGAGUGAUGUAGCCAAGCGCAUACAGCGGCUGCGCGCGCUGAACCGCACUUCCCAGAGUGCGAACUCGCCUGAGCCUAGCGUUUCUCCGUCCGGCCCGUUGGGACGCCGUGCCUCGGCUAGGCAGGCAAGCGAGCACACGCCUCCUCGUGGCUCCGACGCCGCCGCGACGGCCUUCGGCGCGCGGAACCCACGCGGUAAGGACGGCAAAAAGGCACCAGCAGGCGUCGAAAACGACUUGAAAGUGCUGGACGCCAUUCAAGUCAAUCAAACCGAUCCAUUUCAGGCCAGCAACUCCAGCCCCAGCCCCUCCGCCGCGUCGUCAAUGUCGGGCAAGCGCGCGUUGCCGGUGGCUUCUCCGACCCCUUCACCCCCGUCAGCGCCGCCAUGUAAGCCAACCUGCGGCAGCGACGGCGUGCCAGAUGGUGGCAAGCCAGGCGGCAGCUCCGCGGAACCGCCCGCGUUGCCGACUCCGCCACCACCUGGCUCCUCGCAGCGGCUGUUCGGCGUCGCGUCUCACUUUGCCCCUCGUACAUCCGAGAUGGUUUACAAGGCGAUUGGGAUCGCGAUUCAGCUUAGCCAGCAAGGGGAGCUCAAGCGGGCGGUAGAUGUGCUGCAGCACGCCUACUCGCGGGGCAGCCGUGAGCGCAAUAACCCUGGCAAUUUCAAGGAGAUUGGCGAGACACUGAAGCUAAUGCGCCAGAAGUACUACGCAAAACAUCUGCCACGCUUCCUGCAGGACAACCCGAUCCUGCCGAGCGAGAUGGAGCUGCUGCGCAAGAGCGGCAUCACAAGCACGAUCCUGCUCCCGCUCUGGGACGAUGUGCAUGAGGGCUACGGAGCUGAGAACAUCUUCAUGCCCUGCGAGGGAGUUUGGGAGGACGCUUUCACACCAAAGCUGUGCCAGAGGCAAAUCAGCUCCGGCGCCGUCCUCAUGCACUUUUCCGGAUACCGGCAGGCGGGGCUUGACUACACCAUUGUGCGCGAGGCGGAUCCACUGCACAUUCGGCAGAGCGUCGUCGGCGACUGCUCACUCGUCUGCAGUCUCAUGAUCUGCGCCAGCUAUCAGAAGCGCUUCCCUAACGCGAAGAUUAUCAGCAACGUCAUCUACCCUCAAGACCGCGACGGCAACCCAAUCUUGAACCCGAAGGGCAAGUACUGUGUAAAGAUGCUCAUCAACGGUAUUACUCGCAUGGUCACGGUGGACGAUCGGCUGCCGGUGAACCCUCAGUCGAGGCGCUUCCUCUGCACGAGCAGCACGGAUCCGAGCGAGCUGUGGGUAUCCAUUAUGGAAAAGGCGUUCGUCAAGGUGUGCGGCGGCAGCUACAACUUCCCCGGCAGCGUCAGCUACGCCGACCUGUACAAGCUAAGCGGGUGGCUGCCAGACUCGACGGCGUUCGGCAAGCCCGAGUUCGACCGCGAGUUCCAGUGGCGGCGGCUUUAUCAAAACUUCAAGGCUGGUGCUCUGCUCUUCACAGUCAGCACCCCUGUGGAGAUGCCAGCAGCGGACGAAGCGCUCGGGCUCGCCGCAGGGCACGCGUAUGCGGUGCUGGAUAUGCAGGAGGUGGGCAAGGAGCGCGUCAUGCUGCUGCGCAACCCGUGGGGGAAGCAGGAGUGGAACGGCAAGUACGGCCGCCGCGACACCAGCGAGGCAAGCGUCGCCGUCCGCGCCGCCUUUGAUCUGAAACGCGAGGAGGAGGACAUGGGUGUCUUCUGCAUCGCCUACGAUGAUGUGGUGCGCUGCUUCGACAACUGCAGUCUGAGCUGGAACCCAUACAUGCUGUACCGCACCCCGGAGGGUCGGCCGCGCCGACCGGUGCGCAUCGCGUGCCACGGCGCGUUCGACUACACCCUCAGCACGGCGCUGUCGCCGCAGCUGCACAUUGGUGUCGUCGACGCGCCGAAGCGGACGCGCAUGCACCUGAUCUUGUCUCGCCACAUCACCGACGUCUCGGAGUUUGGCCGGCAGUACGAGAAGGACGACGACACGACACCGUACCUGGCCUUGAAGGUGUACGACGUGACCGACUACCCGUCUGUAGCGCAGCACCUUGGUGGCCAUUGCUCGCUGGAGAUGUGCUACUGCCGCCGCCUCGCCUCGAAUUCGGACUUUAAGAAUAGCAUUGAGCCCCUCAACGACGUCAUCUACCGCGCCUCGUCUGCGCGCACCUUCAGCUUCGACUGUCCUGCCGGCUCGAGCAAUCUGGUGGUGGUCGUGUCGCGGACUGCCUCAAAGGCGCGGCAGCCUUUCAACUUUACGGUGACCCUGCACACGGAGCUGGAGCAGAUGCGGCUGCCGCGGCUGCAGGGCAACUACGGCAGCGGCGCCGAGGACAAGAACUCCCUCCUGGCAAGCGCCAACGCCAACGCCGGGAACCCGUGCGCUGGAGUGUACAUGCACAUGAUACCGACCUCCUCGCUCAAGUUCACGACGCGGCUGUCCGGCGCGUGGGUGAAGGGCAAGACUUGCGGCGGCCGCACCGACGCCGCCACGUAUGUCUUCAACCCGCAGUACCGCCUGCACCUGGACCAGCCCUCGCACGUGUCGCUGAGGCUGGCUGUGGCAGGAUGCGAGGUGCCGUGCUCGAUUCAGAUGAUCAAGCCGAUGUCGUCCAACAAAUACGAGGAGAACGGCGGCAGCGGUGGAAUCAAGCGCAAGAUGACUGACUUCGACGGCCGUGUCGGUAACGGUGCCAAGGCGGGCGAGCUUGUUCUCGAGAGCGCCCGCUACGCCUUUGGUGGGGCCGUUCUAGAUAGCGCGCUGCCGUUCUGCGUCUGCUACGACCGCUACCGCGCCCUCGGCAAGCUGCAUUGGAGGGAAGCGAAGAAGGUGCUGGUGAACGUGACCGCCCCGAACCGGACGCCUGAGUCCUUCAUCGUCUACGACCUCGGGGACACCGACACCGUGGCGGUGCUUCUCCUGAAUGCUAUCAAGAAGGGCUGCGCUGCCUCCCCACGUGACGCGCACUUUAGCGUGAACGGGAAGCCGAUCACGCUCGAGGCCACCAUCGCGUCGCUCUUCCAGCUCGCAUCCUCCCUCGGCGGCGAGUCCCUCGCCUCUGGCGGGGAUGGCGCGACAACCGCGAAGUCUGUCACAGUAGCCCUCGCCCUGGACGGCAAGGCGGCGUCGAUCGAGUCUGCCUCGAGCCCACCUGUGAGGAAGCUGAAGGAAGUCAUGAACGACAUAGUGUCUGAUGUGCUCAAGUGCUCGUCGCAGUUCAGCAGCUACGUGCCACGCUUGACGCAUCUUGCCAGGCAGGCAAACAGCGCGCUGACCGGUGCCAGCGAUGCGGACGUGCGAGCGUACAUUCUCGAGCUCGCCGCUUACCUUGCUGACUACGUGAAGCGGUGUGCCAGCGCGGUGCGGUCGGCGCAGACGCCGCAGGCGCUGCUUCCGCUGCUUCCUGCCGGCGACUACACGGUCAUUCCAUCUUUGUGGGAGAAGGGUAAGCCGGGCAGCUUUGAGCUGACGGUGGAGACGUCACAGCCACAUAAGACGUCGGCGAUUCCGAAGGAGGGACACAACAUGCAAGAGACGCUUGUGCGCGGCGCACUACGCCCCGUCGCGGUUUGCCUGGGCACGUCACUGAUGAAGCCGAGAGCAGUGCUCAGCAUGAGGGAUCCGUUCUUUGAGAACAGCAAGGUGCAGGUGCUGUGCCCCGCCCGCUCCGUCUUCAUGAGUCGUCUCUUUGUCCUGGUUGACAUGGUGGAUGCGGAGGCGAAGGGCCAGCCGGCCAAGGCCCCCGCCACGAAUCUGAGCCUCUUCCGUGUGCACAACGCGUCAUCGAUGGAGCUGGUGUGCGCUUCAGACGAGUACUCCCAUGGCGGUGUGUCAACCCCACCUGUAGAGCUGGAGGCGAAGACGCAGUAUCUGCUCGUGGUGAGCGCAAAGGAGAGCGUGGCUGACAAGUUCCUCCUCCGCAUCUAUACCAGCGGCAGCUGCACCGCUCAGCUGGCGAGCUGAACGAGACCGGCGCCAGGAGCGGGCGAUGAGGGUGGGAGAGCAGCGGAGAUGAAGGAAGAAUCGAGCGCCUGCGUGCAUCCAUCACUGCGCCAAGUCAGACUUACGAAUAUGCAUAGUCGCACUCCUCGCGUACCUUUCGGGAGCGCUUUAUACACUGUCUCAUCUUUUUCUUUCACAUGUCUCUGCGCCUGCCGCAGAUUUACGCAUCCUCUGCGCCGCUCAUCUCGUCCUCCCUCCUUGCCGAUGCCGUAUUUGCACUUCACUGCUGUGCGAAGCGCCGGCUGGUGUGCUCUGAUGGGCUCAUCUUUUCUUUUUUCGUUUUUUUUCCACGUUUGACAGUGCCGCGCUUUCCUCUUCCGUGUCUGAGCCGCACAAGAACGCCUCGUUACGAUUCGUUUGCUGAUGCCGUUCUGUUUUUUUUUUCUUCCUUCCACGUUAUAUAUGUGUGCUCAUGACAUGUGCAUCGUGCGGAUGUGUGCAAGCGGGCAAACUAACACCGCACAGAAAAAAAAAACGAUGAUAGCGUGGGCAUGGGAAUCACCGUUGAAUUGUGCAACCUGAUGCGGCCGCGGUCGUUGCACACGAUCUGCAUGCUCCCGCACGCGCUGACGAAUGUGCACUGAUUCUAUGCGCGUCCGGGUGUAUUGGUGUUUGUGAAGGAAGCCUUUUCGUUUAAUCUUCUUUUUUUUCGUUCAUUUUCGCGCAUUGGGUGGUCUCUGUAG